Arvicanthis niloticus (Nile rat) is the source of this 138-nucleotide small nucleolar RNA. RefSeq annotates it as small nucleolar RNA SNORA48. Lineage: Eukaryota; Metazoa; Chordata; Mammalia; Rodentia; Muridae. The record is from RefSeq and is a predicted model, not a curated record.
CCUCCCAGCUGUGGGUAGAGACACUUUAUUGGCGGUGUUUUUAUAUCAGUCAGGGGCAGAACAACUGGCCAUUCUUUGUUCAUUCUAGCUUGAUGGCUGGCUUGUUGACCAAAGCUAUUUUAUGCUUAAGACAUAUUA